UACAGAGGUCUCGAGCGUUGUUCGGAUUCAUUGGGCGGAAAGGGUGCGUAGGCGGCGAGCUAAGUUUGGUGUGAAAUCCUGGGGCUUAACCUCAGAAAUGCACUGAAUACUGGUUUGCUAGAGGACUGGAGAGGAGAUUGGAAUUCACGGUGUAGCAGUGAAAUGCGUAGAUAUCGUGAGGAAGACCAGUGGCGAAAGCGAAUCUCUGGACAGUUCCUGACGCUGAUGCACGAAGGCUAGGGGAGCAAACGGG
RNAcentral lists this ribosomal RNA (253 nucleotides) under uncultured bacterium. RNAcentral's name for it is "partial 16S ribosomal RNA". It matches the Rfam family "Bacterial small subunit ribosomal RNA", at positions 524 to 776 of the family's 1533-position model. The record is from RNAcentral.